ACAGCAGUCGCCGCGGUAAUACAGAGGGUGCAAGCGUUAAUCGGAAUUACUGGGCGUAAAGCGCGCGUAGGUGGUUUGUUAAGUUGGAUGUGAAAGCCCCGGGCUCAACCUGGGAACUGCAUCCAAAACUGGCAAGCUAGAGUACGGUAGAGGGUGGUGGAAUUUCCUGUGUAGCGGUGAAAUGCGUAGAUAUAGGAAGGAACACCAGUGGCGAAGGCGACCACCUGGACUGAUACUGACACUGAGGUGCGAAAGCGUGGGGAGCAAACAGGAUUAGAUACCCCAGUAGUCCCUGUCUCUUAUAC
This 305-nucleotide ribosomal RNA is filed under the name uncultured bacterium. Its description in RNAcentral is "partial 16S ribosomal RNA". It matches the Rfam family "Bacterial small subunit ribosomal RNA", at positions 508 to 807 of the family's 1533-position model. The record is from RNAcentral.